UACGGAGGGGGCUAGCGUUGUUCGGAAUUACUGGGCGUAAAGCGCACGUAGGCGGCUUUGCAAGUCAGAGGUGAAAGCCCGGGGCUCAACCCCGGAAUUGCCUUUGAGACUGCAUCGCUAGAAUUGUGGAGAGGUAAGUGGAAUUCCGAGCGUAGAGGUGAAAUGCGUAGAGAUCCGGAGGAGCACCAAAGGCGAAGGCAGUGUCCUGGGGAGUACCUGACGCUCAGGUGCGAAAGCCAGGGGAGCGAACGGG
RNAcentral lists this ribosomal RNA (253 nucleotides) under uncultured bacterium. Its description in RNAcentral is "partial 16S ribosomal RNA". It matches the Rfam family "Bacterial small subunit ribosomal RNA", at positions 524 to 776 of the family's 1533-position model. The record is from RNAcentral.